AUGAGGAGUUCUCCUUUGUUAGUAAUCCCACCGCACCUCUCUUCAAGCUAUUUUGUUACUUGCCAGAGCAUCGCUUCAGAGAGGAGCAGGCUCAGCAAGAAACUAUGGCAACAAACCAAAGCUGCUUUGCCUUUAAAAGUUCAUCUUCACCUCGUCCAAGAGAAGCAGAAAGGUGACUGGGUCAGCCUGGAGGUAUAUCCACUUGAGAAGGUUUCCAUGUGAGCAGCAAAUUAACCAUGUGGCAGAAUGGUGAGUCGUCCCUCUUGUUAGGGUUAAUUUAGGAAGAGAUGCUCUCUCCUCAAAGGCUGCCUCUGGGGGCUGGUUGGGAGGGCCAUGGCUGUGGUCACGCGUGAAGUCAGGCAGUGAAUUGCAGAGACAUGGGAAAGAACGAUUUCCUCAGACUAUGCUGUGGGACAACGUUUCUGGGAAUCCCAGUGCUGUCUGGGGGACCCUGUGGGGACAAGCGUGGUCUCUCCGUGUGUCUUUUAGAGAGGUCAGGCCAUAGUCAGUGCCCUGGGACAGGAAACGUGGCUGCGUGCAGUGUCAGGCACAGGCACGUGCUGAGCUGAUUCAUCCAAACUCAGACCCAAAUGGUCCUUCCAGGGCGCUCUGCUCCCAGCUCGUUAGCCGUAAUUCCAUCAAAGUGCAUGUGUGUGUGGAGAUGAUGCAGCCCUCGUUACUGGAAGGAAAUCUUACCCACUAACGG
RNAcentral lists this long non-coding RNA (706 nucleotides) under Accipiter nisus (Eurasian sparrowhawk). RNAcentral describes it as "lncRNA (ENSANIG00000015885.1)". Lineage: Eukaryota; Metazoa; Chordata; Aves; Accipitriformes; Accipitridae. The record is from RNAcentral.